RNAcentral lists this ribosomal RNA (630 nucleotides) under uncultured bacterium. RNAcentral's name for it is "bacterial SSU rRNA". It matches the Rfam family "Bacterial small subunit ribosomal RNA", at positions 94 to 743 of the family's 1533-position model. The record is from RNAcentral.
AGUGGCGAACGGGUGAGUAACACGUAGGUAACCUGCCCUGGAGCGGGGGACAACCAUUGGAAACGAUGGCUAAUACCCCAUGGUUCUAUUGGUUUUGGAAGGCCGAUAGAUAAAACUCCGGUGCUCCGGGAGGGGCCUGCGUCCGAUUAGCUAGUUGGUGGGGUAACGGCCUACCAAGGCGACGAUCGGUAGCUGGUCUGAGAGGACGAUCAGUCACAUGGGAACUGAGACACGGUCCCAACUCCUACGGGGGGCAGCAGUGAGGAAUAUUGCACAAUGGGGGAAACCCUGAUGCAGCAACGCCGCGUGGAGGAUGAAGGCUUCGGUUGUAAACUCCUUUUCUGAGGGAAGAGAAAGGACGGUACCUCAGGAAUAAGUCACGGCUAACUACGUGCCAGCAGCCGCGGUAACACGUAGGUGGCGAGCGUUAUCCGGAUUUAUUGGGCGUAAAGCGCACGCAGGCGGUUGGUCAAGUCCGACGUGAAAUCUCUCGGCUUAACUGGGAGCGGUCGUUAGAAACUGAUCAACUUGAGGCAAUGAGAGGGAUACAGAAUUCCUGGUGUAGUGGUGGAAUGCGUAGAUAUCAGGAGGAAUACCAGUGGCGAAAGCGGUAUCCUGGCAUUGUUCUGA